RNAcentral lists this ribosomal RNA (496 nucleotides) under uncultured bacterium. RNAcentral's name for it is "partial 16S ribosomal RNA". It matches the Rfam family "Bacterial small subunit ribosomal RNA", at positions 29 to 507 of the family's 1533-position model. The record is from RNAcentral.
AUGAACGCUGGCGGCGUGCCUAAUACAUGCAAGUCGAGCGAACGGACGAGAAGCUUGCUUUUCUGAUGUUAGCGGCGGACGGGUGAGUAACACGUGGAUAACCUACCUAUAAGACUGGGAUAACUUCGGGAAACCGGAGCUAAUACCGGAUAAUAUUUUGAACCGCAUGGUUCAAAAGUGAAAGACGGUCUUGCUGUCACUUAUAGAUGGAUCCGCGCUGCAUUAGCUAGUUGGUAAGGUAACGGCUUACCAAGGCAACGAUGCGUAGCCGACCUGAGAGGGUGAUCGGCCACACUGGAACUGAGACACGGUCCAGACUCCUACGGGAGGCAGCAGUAGGGAAUCUUCCGCAAUGGGCGAAAGCCUGACGGAGCAACGCCGCGUGAGUGAUGAAGGUCUUCGGAUCGUAAAACUCUGUUAUUAGGGAAGAACAUAUGUGUAAGUAACUGUGCACAUCUUGACGGUACCUAAUCAGAAAGCCACGGCUAACUACGUG